AUAAUUGUACAGGUAUAUAAUUACAAAUUAUGCUUAAGUGCUACAGUGAAGAUGAGUAAGCUGACAGGAGAGAAGAGAAUGGGGCAGCUUCAUCUUUUUGGGAAAUCAAGGGUGUAUUCAGCCCAUAGUGACUGAUGAGGAGACACUAAGUGAAGGAGUUGGUUGGCUCUGCAGAUAGAGGGAGCAGCUUGCACACAGGCCCUCUGAUGGGUGGGGACAUGUUUCCCAACAACCCAUGGCUGGAGCACCAGAGGCAAGCGAGGUGAAGCUGGGAGAGGCGGUAGGGCCAUUCCAUGCAGAGUCCUGGCCUAGGAUUUUAGUCUCUAUCUUAAAAUGAAUGCAGUGGAAAGCCUUAGAAGCUGUUUUAGGCACGGAGACAAAAGGGUCAGAUUUGCUUUCUGAAUAUUACUCAUUCUUCUGGAGAACAAGUUGGAGGGUGUCAAGAGUGAAUCUAGAACUAGUCAGGAGGUAUGGCAGUAAUCUAGGGAGUGGAUUGUUAUACUGGAUUAAUCCACUACAGUGGAGUGGUGGAAGUGGAGAAUGGGGGAACAGUGGGGAGAUUUGAGAAAUUUCUGUGGAGACAAAUACAUAGGAUUUGGUGGGGGAUUGGAUAUGGAGGGUGAAGGAGAGGAAACUGUCAAGAACGAAUGCUGUGGGUGGCCUUUACACCUGAAUAGGCAGAGCUGCCAUUCAUUGGCAUGAGAGGAGCCUGGUUUGAGGGAAUGGUGACUCUAGUUUUGGGAUUUGUGGAGUUUAAAGUAGCUUUGAAGCAUCUAAGCAAAGAUGUCAAGUAGUCAGUUGAACACGUGGGUCUAGAGCAGAGGCUAGACUGGGGGUAGAAAUUUGGGAGCCACCAGAACAGAGAUGGUGAUGGAAUUGGAGUGGACGAGCAGAUGUACAGGAGGGUAUUUAGUGGGAGAAGCCUUGGAGCUGACGCUGGAGAAACUCUGACUUUUAAAGGUCUGAAACAAGGGAGUGCGCCCACCAAGAAGAUAGGGAAGGACUGGGUAGGGAAGAAGGACAACAAUAGACUUCAGAGUCAGCGCCUCUGCAUGAGGAGGGAUGUUAGUUUUCCAGGGCUGCUGAGACAAAGUACCACAAACUAGUGGCUGAAAAUAGCAGAAAUGUAUUUUCUCACAGUUCUGGAUAUUAGAAGCCUGAAGGCAAAGUGUCUGCAGUAUGGGUUCCUUUCAAGGGUGUUAAGAGGCAUCUGUCCCCUGCCUCUCUCCUGGCUUCUGGUCAAGGCUUCCAAUCCCUGUGGUCCCUUGAUUUGUGGAUGCAUUGCUCAAGUAUUGGCUUCCGUCUUCACGAAGUGUUCUCUCUGUGUCUUCACAUGGCAUCUCCUCAUAAGAACACUGGUCAAACUGGGUUAGGGUCCCACUCAACUCCAAUAUCACCUCUUUUUUUUUUUCUUUCCUCUUUUUAGGGCUGCACCUGAGGCAUGUGGAAGUUCCCAGGCUGGGGUCGAACUGGAGCUGCAGCUGCCGGCCUACACCACAGCCGUGACAACAGCAACAUCAGAUCUGAGUCGAGUCUGUGACCUAUACUGUGGCAGCGCUGGAUCCUUAACCUACUGAGCGAGGCUAGGGAUUGAACCCGCAUCCUCAUGGAUACUAGUCAGGUUCAUUACUGCUGAGCCACAAUGGGAACUCCAGUUUUAUCUCAUCUUAAUUAUAUCUGCAACAAGUCUAUUUCCAAAUCAGGUUCCAUUCUGAGGUACCGGGGUUCACACUUCAAUAUCUUUUAGGGGGACACAAUUCAAAUACAUGCAGAUUGCCUCCUUGUAAGACCUUAUAAGGGAGGCGGGGACAGUCAAGACCCAGUUCCCAUCCUUUCGUAAUAUCUUAAUACAGGUUAUAUUAUUCUGUCCGAUGUGGUCCCAAAAAGGUGUGUACAGUAGCUGAGAUGGAUGUGAGGGUGGGCAUAGAAAAAAGGAAGGAUUUUAUAUUAUUUUCUCUAUGGAUGUCUCCAUUUUCAGAGUCAUCAAUUUAAGAAUAGUAACUAAUAAUAAUUGCACGUAUUAGGGCCAAGCAAAUAUUCUAGAUACUCAAACUCCAUGAACAAAUUUAAUCUUUACCCAGACCCCACGAAGAAUAUUGUCCAAUAUUUCAUAAAUGUUAAAGUGCCAUCAGUUGUGAGAUAGCAUGUGAUGUACUUCUAAGAAAGAACAAUAAAGCCUCCAAUUAAUUGAAAGAUGCUCGUGAUGAGAGGAAGACACAGCCUGGUUUCAAAAAUGUUGGGAUGUUAAAAAAAAAAAAAAAAAAAAUAGGGGAGUUUCGGUCAUAGCGCAGUGGUUAACGAAUCCGACUAGGAACCAUGAGGUUGCGGGUUUGAUCCCUGGCCUUGCUCAGUGGGUUAAGGAUCUGGUGUUGCCAUGAGCUGUGGUGUAGGUCGCAUAUGCGGCUUGGGAUCCCGCGUUGCUGUGGCUCUGGUGUAGGCCAGUGGUUACAGCUCCUAUUCGACCCCUAGCCUUGGAACCUCCAUAUGCUGCGGGAGCGGCCCAAGAAAAGGCAAAACAACAGAAACAACAAAAAAUUGAAAUACAGCUUGUCCAGGGUUAUACAGAUGUGCGGUGAAGCCCUGAUCCUCACGCAGGGUGCUCAGCCGUCAGGCUCCAUCACCUGUACUUUGUCUGCAAAAUCGGAGCCCCUCCCCAGUGCCUUUGUUCCUAUACCGAGAGCUGGUAAUGUUUUAGGACCCAAGUCUGAGCACAUUUGGGGGAUGUUGUGCCAGGAAAGGUGUGUGUGAAGGUGCACCUUGCUGCUGGUGAUUUGACUAAUGGAGCAUUUUGCAGGGUGGGUCUUUUGAUUGCCUGCUUUUUAUCAGUCUGACUUGUUAACAAUGGAGAAAGGCCACAGUGAUGAGCAGAGGAGACGGGGGUGAAGGUGAGGUUGGGGCAGGAGUGGGUGACUUUCUUGUGGAAAAUGAAGCUUUUACGUGUCUUUGAAGUUUCGCUUCCUCUGUAGGCCACCUCAGCACCCUCUCGCCCUUAUCGGGCAUCUUUCUGACUGUCAUCACUCAUGCCCUCACUCUUUUUCCUGGUUUCGUUUCCUGUGAAGUCACCUUCCCCCUGGUCUAAGGAGGCCCUGUAGGUAUCUGCAGCUUCCACGGCUUGUGGGAAAGUGACCAGCAGCUUAAUAGAGAAGGGGAAACUGCAUUAUAGUUGGCUCAAUCAAACCCUGAGAGGUGUGGUAACUUUUCCUUUUUAAUUUUUUCCAUCUUCAUAGAUACAUCCAGUUGCCCUCAUUCAUGAGUGUUCCCCCCUCUAAUAGGUUUUUUAAAAGUAGACUCACACAGACUUUGAAAACCACCUUACAGUAACCAAAGGGGGGACAGGUGUGAGAAGGGAUGGGCUGGGGUUUUGGGAUUGGCAUGUGCACACUGAGGUAUAUGGAAUGGACGGUCAAUGGGGACCUGCUGUACAGCACAGGGAACUCUACCCAAUAGUCUAUGAUAAUCUAUAUGGGAAAAGAAUCCGAAAAAGAAUGGAUGUGUGGCGUUCCCAUCGUGGCUCAGCGAUUAACGAACCUAACUAGGAUCCAUGAGGAUGUGGGUUCGAUCCCUGGUCUUGCUCAAUGGGUUAAGGAUCUGGUGUUGCCGUGAGCUCUGGCUUGAAUCUGGCAUUGCGUUGGCUGGGGCCGUAGGCCGGCAGCUGUAGCUCUGAAUGGACCCCUAGCCUGGGAACU
This 3686-nucleotide long non-coding RNA is filed under the name Sus scrofa (pig). RNAcentral describes it as "lncRNA (ENSSSCG00055026586.1)". The record is from RNAcentral. Lineage: Eukaryota; Metazoa; Chordata; Mammalia; Artiodactyla; Suidae.